Long non-coding RNA from Uranotaenia lowii, 1519 nucleotides. RefSeq lists it as uncharacterized. The record is from RefSeq and is a predicted model, not a curated record. The transcript has 3 exons. Lineage: Eukaryota; Metazoa; Arthropoda; Insecta; Diptera; Culicidae.
AAUUUGUACUCGCAAGUGGCACAACAUCUUUAUUCACAGACUCUCAUCGGAAGGAAUAUACAAAUUAUAGUAACGAUGUUCGAAACAAAAAGGUUCUAUCCGUUCUAUCGUAUCUUUAAAGUCAUGUGACAACAGAGGAAUCGUCAAGUCCUGCACCGAUUUUCGCCUCUCUUGAGGAGGACGAAGAACAUAUUUGCCGGAAAAUGUAAACACUCAAGAGUUUCGAAGUUUUCCGACAGUUUCCAAGCUUUUGAUCGUGGGUCAAACUGUUCCUGGUAUUUGGAGGUGGAGGCUGGCAGCAUCAAUGUGCAAUGGAUGGGCCAAACUUGAGGUCAAACGAUGUACUAAUCAAACAGGUUCCAUAGUUUCUAUAAAGUCCUGUCAACAGAGGAAUCAUCAAACCCUGCCUCGAUUGCCACCGCUCUUGGGGAGGACGAGGAACAAAUUUACCGGAAAAAUGUAAACACUCAAGAGUUUCGAAGUUGUCCGACAGUUUCCAAGCUUCUACGUGGGUCAAACUAAUCCUGGUAUUUGGUGGAAGCUGCUAGCAUCAAUGUGCAAUUGAUGGGCCAAACUUGAGACCGAAGCAUUUGCAAUAUCUUCCAGCACAGGAAUGCACUCAGAAGCAUGGCUCCAACUGCUACGGAAGCUCAAGAGCGGGACUCGAAAACCUGUUGAUUCAGUUUAGCAGUUAAUUCAGGUCGCCUAAGUGACUGGUCUUGCAGCACCGAAUAGCUCAUCAAAAGAGGUGCAAACUUUCAACUCCGGUGAAUUCUGAUAUCACCAGCACUGCAUUUCAAACCUAGGUUGAUGGUCUCGCAAUCCGAAAAAAGGUUGGAUAGGAUCACAUUCUGCUGCUUACGGUGAAGCUUCAUGCCGUCUAACUACCCUGAGCUGUUGGCUAUAGUCUAGGAAUGGAACAUCAGCUGCCAAACAAAACGGUUAAACCAGUUUUUAAAUUGGAAUAUUUUUAAAUUUUUCAAUUUCAAUCUAAAUCAAUAAUAGGUCUUUCAACAAAACCAGAAGAUCAGUGUAUCCACUAUACACAUACAAUACUAACGUGGUUAAAUUUCUUUUAUAAAAAAAGAUGUAUCAACUUUUUUUUUUUUUUUUUUUUUUUUUUUUGUGGCGUUUAAAUAGCUGUGGGAAGCUGACGCUGAAAAUGAAAUGUGGGUAGAGGGGUCGGGGAAAUAAAAGUUUAGAGUAGGCAGCUUAGAAUAGUAAGCGAUCUUGAGACGUUGGUUAUACCAUCCUGCACUUCCUUAAGUCCACUUCGGAUGAAUAUGAACUGAAAGUAGAACAAGAUAGUGAACUAACCCCUCAUGAUACCAGUUGGAGGAAAUACGUUGGCGGUUUGAGACAGGUCGCUUAAUGAAUCCCAACGAAACUAACUACAGUAUUUAUAUACAAUUUAAAACAAUAAAAUAAAAUGGAACGCUCUCACCAUGUUAUAGAACUCUAUGUUCAGCUGUUGAUAAAAUCCUUGGGAUGAGAGCCAUAUGUUGCGAAACCAUCUUAG